AUCGACAUUUCGAACGCACAUUGCGGUCCUCGGAUACUGUUCCUGGACCACUCCUGGCUGAGGGUCGCAUCUACCAGACUGCCGGCAAUUUGUGUUUGAUCGCUCAGAUUGUCGCGCGAAUUUGAGAGUUCGCUCGGGUUCCCGCACGGGUCCUUCCGGCGUCUCUUUAAAUCACAGCACGGUCGUUUCCGAGCCCUCGCGGGCCAGGUACGGCUAUACGAGCGUCGGCGCCUUGCGCCCGUACGGUUCCGCGUUUGUCGCGAGGCCGCCCGGUUGACGUGUCCUAGACUACAUUGACUAGAAAGACGUCUGGCCGCGUGCGUGUCCGCGUGCGGAGCAACCUCAAACGUACGGAUGCAUUUUCGACGGUGCCGCGCGCNNNAANNUCUAUCAUGNNANCUNNGANCANGUGNNNNUACCCCNNAAANNU
Molecule: unclassified non-coding RNA, 430 nt
Filed under: Enochrus melanocephalus
Lineage: Eukaryota; Metazoa; Arthropoda; Insecta; Coleoptera; Hydrophilidae
Description: sequence contains ITS2
Source: RNAcentral